UGAAAAGCCAGCUUUGGUGCCUGUUCUGGGCCCGCUGCAGGGUAGGAAAGAUUGCCAACCUGGAUCCAACCAUUGCCAGUAUGAUUGAAAUCCCAUAUCCUCUGUGAAGUCUUUCUGACCACCACAGCUGAGAAUGUUCUCACCUCCAACAAACUUCUGUGGCCUUUGUCAUCUGUACCAUUUAUUCAAUCAUGAGAGCACUUUCGGAAAUCAUCCAAAGGAUUGGCUUCAGGUGGGACAAAAUAGCUGAGUGACUGAAUAAAUUUUCCACUUUUCCUUCAGAGGCUUUGGGAUUGUAUUGACAUAGCCUUUAUUCCUCUGAGCCAGGUUAAUUAAAUAUA
Non-coding RNA from Phascolarctos cinereus (koala), 341 nucleotides. The record is from RefSeq and is a predicted model, not a curated record. Lineage: Eukaryota; Metazoa; Chordata; Mammalia; Diprotodontia; Phascolarctidae.